UACGGAGGGGGCGAGCGUUAUUCGGAAUUAUUGGGCGUAAAGGGCGCGUAGGCGGCUGUACAAGUCAAAGGUGAAAUCCCUCGGCUCAACUGAGGAACUGCCUUUGAAACUGUACGGCUUGAGGCCGGGAGGGGGUAGCGGAAUUCCCAAUGUAGCGGUGAAAUGCGUAGAUAUUGGGAGGAACACCGGUGGCGAAGGCGGCCCCCUGGACCGGUACUGACGCUGAGGCGCGAAAGCGUGGGUAGCAAACGGG
RNAcentral lists this ribosomal RNA (253 nucleotides) under uncultured bacterium. RNAcentral's name for it is "partial 16S ribosomal RNA". It matches the Rfam family "Bacterial small subunit ribosomal RNA", at positions 524 to 776 of the family's 1533-position model. The record is from RNAcentral.